AUUGAACGCUGGCGGCAGGCUUAACACAUGCAAGUCGAGCGGGGGAAGGUAGCUUGCUACCGGACCUAGCGGCGGACGGGUGAGUAAUGCUUAGGAAUCUGCCUAUUAGUGGGGGACAACAUCUCGAAAGGGAUGCUAAUACCGCAUACGUCCUACGGGAGAAAGCAGGGGAUCUUCGGACCUUGCGCUAAUAGAUGAGCCUAAGUCGGAUUAGCUAGUUGGUGGGGUAAAGGCCUACCAAGGCGACGAUCUGUAGCGGGUCUGAGAGGAUGAUCCGCCACACUGGGACGGAGACAUGUCCCAGACUCCUACGGGAGGCAGCAGUGGGGAAUAUUGGACAAUGGGUGGAACCCUGAUCCAGCCAUGCCGCGUGUGUGAAGAAGGCCUUAUGGUUGUAAAGCACUUUAAGCGAGGAGGAGGCUACUUUAGUUAAUACCUAGAGAUAGUGGACGUUACUCGCAGAAUAAGCACCGGCUAACUCUGUGCCAGCCGCCGCGGUAA
RNAcentral lists this ribosomal RNA (501 nucleotides) under uncultured bacterium. Its description in RNAcentral is "partial 16S ribosomal RNA". It matches the Rfam family "Bacterial small subunit ribosomal RNA", at positions 30 to 523 of the family's 1533-position model. The record is from RNAcentral.